UGUCCCGGGAGAGAACUCUAAGCCCAGGCUCCCUACUGUUUCUUUGGGAGGCAGGGUAAUCUGAGCUCAGGUAAGUCUCGAGAGCUCCCUGAAUUCGAUCGUCCGGCUUGUUCCUUGAUUUUUAGGAGUUUCAUGGUGGAAUGAACCACCCCAGCCGGCACUCAAACCAGCAACCUUUUUCUUGUGAGGAAAGAGGUGAAGGAGGAGGUACGUCCACCGACGUACACGAUGAGCUAACUGGACAAACUGGUUUCAGCGGGAAAGCUCUUCACAUGGAGAUAAGAGCGGGUUUCCCUGGACGGCGGCCGAUCGGGGAGAUAAACAGACUGAGAGCAAAUGGGAUCUGAAGAGAAGUUGUUGAGGAGGCUUUUGUGUGGGAGCGCAGAUGGGAAAGAGGUGUCAAAAGUGGCUCUUCACGGCAGACGCAGAUCAGAGGCUCAGGAAUGAAGGCUGGCCUUUACUGCCGUUCUUCUUUUACAGAUAGUCAACUGCUCAUCUCGACAGCUGUCUGUCAGACCAUCACUGAGGUUAAUGAGCACAGGAGCCGAGCUGAAACCUUUUCCCCAGCCGUCCCUCGUUCACCCGACGCUUUCAUCAUCUUGACGUGAGCGAGAGAGCCAUUAGGACAGUGACAGAUGAUUAUGCCGGCCAAUCGCCAACUGAGAUUGAUAGAUGUGCUGCUCGCGCAUGUGUGUGUGUGUGGACGCUCAUGGAUUCAUUCUUAAGGAGCCUGUGUGUUGCAGCCGUCCUCAAGAAGCAGUGCAAUUACGUCUGAAAUGACACGAGGACGCCGAGCAGCACCUGAAACUCGCCAGAGGAGAAAUAGGAGCGCCAUAAAUUUUCAUGAACAUCAUAACAAAGUCGUUUGGUCCCGCCUUAAAGAAGAUUACACGGCAUGUGGACGGACGCUGCUGUCUGGAGUGUGUCCUCAAAGUCUGUUUGGCAGGUUCAGACUCUCCUUUACAGAAGAUAAAGGAUCGAACAUUGCACAGGAUCCAUCUGUGGGUCACAGACUCGUUGGUCAAUUUCAUGCAGGUUUGUGAGAAAGGUGAGGGGGAAGUCAAAGUCUACCAUCAGCCUUCAUCAGUGCUGCCUUGAGGAAGGAAGAGAAAUGCCUGCUUUCUCUCUUUUCUCUCUUUUGACCCGCUCGAGAGAGGCAGGGAAGCAGUGAGGGAAGAGGAACAGAGAGGCAAGACCAGAUCUGGAAGAAUACCUUUGCAAUAGCAGAUCUGAAAGUCUGAACUCCAGCUGAAUACCAAUGAGGUGCUGUGAAGACAGGCAGAGUUUCUCUUUCUCUCUCUCUCUCUGUCACACACACUUGCAGUACAUUUCACGUUAGUGUGCUGAUCGCCACGUUGGGGUUUAGUUUUCAAUAACGAGUCAUUAUUACACCACUGCAAAUAAAUAAAUAAAUGGACAUGAAAUAUUGAUUGGAUUUUAAAUGAGUUUAUUAUGUGAGAAGAAAAGCGAGCGCAGAGUGACACGACAGACUUGAAGCUAGCGCAGCUGUGCUGGAAAUCAUUUUCCUGGAAUGAUGCUCUAUUAUACCUGUUUAGCAUCAGUAUGCAAAGAGCUUUUAAUAAUCGUUCAGGUCCAAAAUAUCGACGUGGCUCGGCGCAUCAAUGCUGUUGGACAAUUUAAUAAUUACAUCAACAUAAUUAUUACAGUGUUUAACAUUUACAGUUGAAGUCAGAAUUAUUAGCC
Danio rerio (zebrafish) is the source of this 1704-nucleotide non-coding RNA. The record is from RefSeq and is a predicted model, not a curated record. NCBI's taxonomy places the organism in Eukaryota, Metazoa, Chordata, Actinopteri, Cypriniformes, Danionidae.